This 164-nucleotide ribosomal RNA is filed under the name Warneckea sansibarica. Its description in RNAcentral is "5.8S ribosomal RNA". It matches the Rfam family "5.8S ribosomal RNA". Rfam says of the family: 5.8S ribosomal RNA (5.8S rRNA) is a component of the large subunit of the eukaryotic ribosome. It is transcribed by RNA polymerase I as part of the 45S precursor that also contains 18S and 28S rRNA. Lineage: Eukaryota; Viridiplantae; Streptophyta; Magnoliopsida; Myrtales; Melastomataceae. The record is from RNAcentral.
GAAAACGACUCUCGGCAACGGAUAUCUUGGCUCUUGCAUCGAUGAAGAACGUAGCGAAAUGCGAUACUUGGUGUGAAUUGCAGAAUCCCGUGAACCAUCGAGUCUUUGAACGCAAGUUGCGCCUGGAGCCAUUUGGCUGARGGCAUGCCUGCCUGGGUGUCGUG